RNAcentral lists this ribosomal RNA (180 nucleotides) under uncultured bacterium. RNAcentral describes it as "partial 16S ribosomal RNA". It matches the Rfam family "Bacterial small subunit ribosomal RNA", at positions 337 to 508 of the family's 1533-position model. The record is from RNAcentral.
UCCUACGGGAGGGCAGCAGUGGGGAAUAUUGGACAAUGGGGGCAACCCUGAUCCAGCGACGCCGCGUGUGUGAAGAAGGCCUGCGGGUUGUAAAGCACUUUUAGUGGGGAGGAAGGCCCUCGACCUAAUACGUCGGAGGAUUGACUUAACCCACAGAAAAAGCACCGGCUAACUCUGUGC